UGCACAGCCACGUUGCUACGUAGGCCAUAAGCAAAGCCAUUAAAAGGUCGUUGAUUUCUCAUUAAUUGCCAAUUAUGGUUUAGUAGGAAAUCCUUAACGGUUUGAAAGUUUUUAUUGGUUGUGAGAUUAAAUCCAUAUUUUGAAUAAAAAAAUAUUUUAAAUAAAAUCUUCUUAGACUAUGGGUUUGAUGAGGUAAAAAAAUGGGGCCACCAUAAUAGAGGGACUUAUCUUACCAAAAAAAAGGCUCCCAAAUUUAUUUCUCCAUAUGAUGGGCCCCACUAUGUGGU
RNAcentral lists this long non-coding RNA (287 nucleotides) under Elaeis guineensis (African oil palm). Its description in RNAcentral is "long non-coding RNA (EGUI_LNC019543)". The record is from RNAcentral. Lineage: Eukaryota; Viridiplantae; Streptophyta; Magnoliopsida; Arecales; Arecaceae.